RNAcentral lists this ribosomal RNA (167 nucleotides) under Harpadon microchir. Its description in RNAcentral is "partial 12S rRNA". The record is from RNAcentral. Lineage: Eukaryota; Metazoa; Chordata; Actinopteri; Aulopiformes; Synodontidae.
CACCGCGGUUAUACGAGAGGCCCGAGUUGAUAAACAUCGGCGUAAAGUGUGGUUAGGACUUUUCCCACCUAAAGUUAAACACCCCCAGAACUGUUAUACGCUCCCGGGAGUAGGAGGCCCAACAACGAAAGUGACUUUAAAUAUCCGACCCCACGACAGCUAAGGCA